UUAAGCGACUAAGCGUACACGGUGGAUGCCCUGGCAGUCAGAGGCGAUGAAGGACGUGCUAAUCUGCGAAAAGCGUCGGUAAGGUGAUAUGAACCGUUAUAGCCGGCGAUGUCCGAAUGGGGAAACCCAGUGCAAUUCGUUGCACUAUCGUUAACUGAAUACAUAGGUUAACGAGGCGAACCGGGGGAACUGAAACAUCUAAGUACCCCGAGGAAAAGAAAUCAACCGAGAUUCCCCCAGUAGCGGCGAGCGAACGGGGAGCAGCCCAGAGUCUGAAUCAGCUUGUGUGUUAGUGGAACGGUCUGGAAAGUCCGACGGUACAGGGUGAUAGUCCCGUACACCAAAAUGCACAGGUUGUGAACUCGAAGAGUAGGGCGGGACACGUGGUAUCCUGUCUGAAUAUGGGGGGACCAUCCUCCAAGGCUAAAUACUCCUGACUGACCGAUAGUGAACCAGUACCGUGAGGGAAAGGCGAAAAGAACCCCGGCGAGGGGAGUGAAAAAGAACCUGAAACCGUGUACGUACAAGCAGUGGGAGCACCUUCGGGUGUGACUGCGUACCUUUUGUAUAAUGGGUCAGCGACUUAUAUUCUGUAGCAAGGUUAACCGUAUAGGGGAGCCGCAGGGAAACCGAGUCUUAACUGGGCGUUAAGUUGCAGGGUAUAGACCCGAAACCCGGUGAUCUAGCCAUGGGCAGGUUGAAGGUUGGGUAACACUAACUGGAGGACCGAACCGACUAAUGUUGAAAAAUUAGCGGAUGACUUGUGGCUGGGGGUGAAAGGCCAAUCAAACCGGGAGAUAGCUGGUUCUCCCCGAAAGCUAUUUAGGUAGCGCCUCGUGAAUUCAUCUUCGGGGGUAGAGCACUGUUUCGGCUAGGGGGUCAUCCCGACUUACCAACCCGAUGCAAACUACGAAUACCGAAGAAUGUUAUCACGGGAGACACACGGCGGGUGCUAACGUCCGUCGUGAAGAGGGAAACAACCCAGACCGCCAGCUAAGGUCCCAAAGUCAUGGUUAAGUGGGAAACGAUGUGGGAAGGCACAGACAGCCAGGAUGUUGGCUUAGAAGCAGCCAUCAUUUAAAGAAAGCGUAAUAGCUCACUGGUCGAGUCGGCCUGCGCGGAAGAUGUAACGGGGCUAAACCAUGCACCGAAGCUGCGGCAGCGACACUAUGUGUUGUUGGGUAGGGGAGCGUUCUGUAAGCCUGCGAAGGUGACCUGUGAGGGUUGCUGGAGGUAUCAGAAGUGCGAAUGCUGACAUAAGUAACGAUAAAGCGGGUGAAAAGCCCGCUCGCCGGAAGACCAAGGGUUCCUGUCCAACGUUAAUCGGGGCAGGGUGAGUCGACCCCUAAGGCGAGGCCGAAAGGCGUAGUCGAUGGGAAACAGGUUAAUAUUCCUGUACUUGGUGUUACUGCGAAGGGGGGACGGAGAAGGCUAUGUUAGCCGGGCGACGGUUGUCCCGGUUUAAGCAUGUAGGCUGAUUGUCCAGGCAAAUCCGGAUAAUCAAGGCUGAGGUGUGAUGACGAGGCACUACGGUGCUGAAGUAACAAAUGCCCUGCUUCCAGGAAAAGCCUCUAAGCAUCAGGUAACAUCAAAUCGUACCCCAAACCGACACAGGUGGUCAGGUAGAGAAUACCAAGGCGCUUGAGAGAACUCGGGUGAAGGAACUAGGCAAAAUGGUGCCGUAACUUCGGGAGAAGGCACGCUGGUGUGUAGGUGAAGUCCCUGCGGAUGGAGCUGAGACCAGUCGAAGAUACCAGCUGGCUGCAACUGUUUAUUAAAAACACAGCACUGUGCAAACACGAAAGUGGACGUAUACGGUGUGACGCCUGCCCGGUGCCGGAAGGUUAAUUGAUGGGGUUAUCCGUAAGGAGAAGCUCUUGAUCGAAGCCCCGGUAAACGGCGGCCGUAACUAUAACGGUCCUAAGGUAGCGAAAUUCCUUGUCGGGUAAGUUCCGACCUGCACGAAUGGCGUAAUGAUGGCCAGGCUGUCUCCACCCGAGACUCAGUGAAAUUGAACUCGCUGUGAAGAUGCAGUGUACCCGCGGCAAGACGGAAAGACCCCGUGAACCUUUACUAUAGCUUGACACUGAACAUUGAGCCUUGAUGUGUAGGAUAGGUGGGAGGCUUUGAAGCGUGGACGCCAGUCUGCGUGGAGCCAACCUUGAAAUACCACCCUUUAAUGUUUGAUGUUCUAACGUUGGCCCCUUACCGGGGUUGCGGACAGUGUCUGGUGGGUAGUUUGACUGGGGCGGUCUCCUCCCAAAGCGUAACGGAGGAGCACGAAGGUUAGCUAAUCCUGGUCGGACAUCAGGAGGUUAGUGCAAUGGCAUAAGCUAGCUUGACUGCGAGCGUGACGGCGCGAGCAGGUGCGAAAGCAGGUCAUAGUGAUCCGGUGGUUCUGAAUGGAAGGGCCAUCGCUCAACGGAUAAAAGGUACUCCGGGGAUAACAGGCUGAUACCGCCCAAGAGUUCAUAUCGACGGCGGUGUUUGGCACCUCGAUGUCGGCUCAUCACAUCCUGGGGCUGAAGUAGGUCCCAAGGGUAUGGCUGUUCGCCAUUUAAAGUGGUACGCGAGCUGGGUUUAGAACGUCGUGAGACAGUUCGGUCCCUAUCUGCCGUGGGCGCUGGAGAAUUGAGGGGGGCUGCUCCUAGUACGAGAGGACCGGAGUGGACGCAUCACUGGUGUUCGGGUUGUCAUGCCAAUGGCACUGCCCGGUAGCUAAAUGCGGAAGAGAUAAGUGCUGAAAGCAUCUAAGCACGAAACUUGCCCCGAGAUGAGUUCUCCCUGAGACUUUAAGUCUCCUGAAGGAACGUUGAAGACGACGACGUUGAUAGGCCGGGUGUGUAAGCGCAGCGAUGCGUUGAGCUAACCGGUACUAAUGAACCGUGAGGCUUAACCUU
Molecule: ribosomal RNA, 2900 nt
Filed under: Klebsiella pneumoniae
Lineage: Bacteria; Pseudomonadati; Pseudomonadota; Gammaproteobacteria; Enterobacterales; Enterobacteriaceae
Description: bacterial LSU rRNA
Rfam family: Bacterial large subunit ribosomal RNA
Source: RNAcentral